RNAcentral lists this ribosomal RNA (223 nucleotides) under uncultured bacterium. Its description in RNAcentral is "partial 16S ribosomal RNA". It matches the Rfam family "Bacterial small subunit ribosomal RNA", at positions 111 to 334 of the family's 1533-position model. The record is from RNAcentral.
UAACGCGUGGAUAACCUGCCUCACACAGGGGGAUAACAGUUGGAAACGACUGCUAAUACCGCAUAAGCGCACAGCACCGCAUGGUGCAGUGUGAAAAACUCCGGUGGUGUGAGAUGGAUCCGCGUCUGAUUAGCUUGUUGGCGGGGUAACGGCCCACCAAGGCGACGAUCAGUAGCCGGCCUGAGAGGGCGACCGGCCACAUUGGGACUGAGACACGGCCCAG